AAAGAGAAGCAGAAUAAGAAGGUUGGAGAAAUCCAAAGAAAGAGGUAGCUAGGGAGAGUGGGAGUUCUGGGGGCUGAGAAGUCCAGGAUCAAGGUGCUGCCAAUUUGGUUCCUGGUGAAAGAGCAAACAGCACAGAAAAAGAAAAAGCAGUAUAUGUGGAAGAAAGCAAGAAAAAUCAACUGGCCUGGAACCUAAGACUUGCCCAAAGAUGUCACAGAGAGUAAAAUGAGAAAAGUCCAG
RNAcentral lists this long non-coding RNA (240 nucleotides) under Pongo abelii (Sumatran orangutan). Its description in RNAcentral is "lincRNA". The record is from RNAcentral. Lineage: Eukaryota; Metazoa; Chordata; Mammalia; Primates; Hominidae.